RNAcentral lists this ribosomal RNA (229 nucleotides) under uncultured bacterium. RNAcentral describes it as "partial 16S ribosomal RNA". It matches the Rfam family "Bacterial small subunit ribosomal RNA", at positions 568 to 796 of the family's 1533-position model. The record is from RNAcentral.
UGCGCAGGCGGGCUUGUAAGUCAGUGGUGAAAUACUGCCGCUCAACGGUAGAACUGCCAUUGAUACUGCAAGUCUUGAAUAUGGUUGAGGUAGGCGGAAUGUGUCGUGUAGCGGUGAAAUGCAUAGAUAUGACACAGAACGCCGAUUGCGAAGGCAGCUUACUAAGCCAUUAUUGACGCUGAGGCACGAAAGCGUGGGGAGCGAACAGGAUUAGAUACCCUGGUAGUCC